AGCUUUUUUGAAUCCAUGCUGAGAUUUCGUCUGACACCAACCCAAUAAAGUUGAUCAGACUUCUGAGAUAAGUGAAGUU
Molecule: microRNA precursor, 79 nt
Filed under: Schistosoma mansoni
Lineage: Eukaryota; Metazoa; Platyhelminthes; Trematoda; Strigeidida; Schistosomatidae
Description: mir-3492 microRNA precursor family
Rfam family: mir-3492 microRNA precursor family
Source: Rfam by way of RNAcentral